Non-coding RNA from Lolium perenne, 326 nucleotides. The record is from RefSeq and is a predicted model, not a curated record. Lineage: Eukaryota; Viridiplantae; Streptophyta; Magnoliopsida; Poales; Poaceae.
CAGCUCCACGACUGAAAAAAGAAGAGAAAGGCCAAGGCAUCAGCUACUACAGCAACCAGAUCAACAAAGAACUUUUAGCACUUCGAGCAGCAGCGAAGAUCUGUCUACAAAAACAGAUCAAUUCAGCUUGAGAACCCAAAGCAAAAAAGUAGUACUGUCAACCUACCUACCUACCGUACUAGGCAGCAAGUGCUUCCGAGGUAAUGUUUGCUAGAGUUGACCACUCUGGAUGUUAUGUACUACUAUAGUAUUAUGAACCUAAUUACUGUCUCAGCUAGAAAGAGCCUUUGGCAUGUCCCGACACUGGGCAUCUGCUGCUUAUUAAA